This 173-nucleotide non-coding RNA is filed under the name Erinaceus europaeus (western European hedgehog). RNAcentral describes it as "Eukaryotic large subunit ribosomal RNA". It matches the Rfam family "Eukaryotic large subunit ribosomal RNA", at positions 816 to 953 of the family's 3401-position model. The record is from Rfam by way of RNAcentral. Lineage: Eukaryota; Metazoa; Chordata; Mammalia; Eulipotyphla; Erinaceidae.
CUUAAACGUUGUUAACUUUCCCUCUGUUGAGGUUAUCUAUCUAAUUUAAUUUCUGUUGUUUUGUGGUAGUAGAAGGAGUUAAGCUGGUGGAGGUCUGUAGCGGUCCUGAUGUGCAAAUCGGUCGUCUGACCUGGGUAUAGGGGUGAAAGACUAAUCAAACCAUCUAGUAGCUG